CCUACGGGAGGCAGCAGUGGGGAAUAUUGCACAAUGGGGGAAACCCUGAUGCAGCGACGCCGCGUGAAGGAAGAAGUAUCUCGGUAUGUAAACUUCUAUCAGCAGGGAAGAUAGUGACGGUACCUGACUAAGAAGCCCCGGCUAACUACGUGCCAGCAGCCGCGGUAAUACGUAGGGAGCGAGCGUUGUCCGGAAUUACUGGGUGUAAAGGGAGCGUAGGCGGGAUCGCAAGUCAGAUGUGAAAACUAUGGGCUUAACCCAUAAACUGCAUUUGAAACUGUGGUUCUUGAGUGAAGUAGAGGUAAGCGGAAUUCCUAGUGUAGCGGUGAAAUGCGUAGAUAUUAGGAGGAACAUCAGUGGCGAAGGCGGCUUACUGGGCUUUAACUGACGCUGAGGCUCGAAAGCGUGGGGAGCAAACAGGAUU
Molecule: ribosomal RNA, 424 nt
Filed under: uncultured Prevotella sp.
Lineage: Bacteria; Pseudomonadati; Bacteroidota; Bacteroidia; Bacteroidales; Prevotellaceae
Description: bacterial SSU rRNA
Rfam family: Bacterial small subunit ribosomal RNA
Source: RNAcentral